Molecule: ribosomal RNA, 434 nt
Filed under: uncultured Clostridium sp.
Lineage: Bacteria; Bacillati; Bacillota; Clostridia; Eubacteriales; Clostridiaceae
Description: partial 16S ribosomal RNA
Rfam family: Bacterial small subunit ribosomal RNA
Source: RNAcentral
ACGGGAGGCAGCAGUGGGGAAUAUUGCACAAUGGGCGAAAGCCUGAUGCAGCGACGCCGCGUGAGUGAAGAAGUUAUUCGUAACGUAAAGCUCUAUCAGCAGGGAAGAAAAUGACGGUACCUGACUAAGAAGCCCCGGCUAACUACGUGCCAGCAGCCGCGGUAAUACGUAGGGGGCAAGCGUUAUCCGGAUUUACUGGGUGUAAAGGGAGCGUAGACGGCAAAGCAAGUCUGAAGUGAAAUCCCGGGGCUCAACCCUGGAACUGCUUUGGAAACUGUUUAGCUAGAGUGCAGGAGAGGUAAGUGGAAUUCCUGGUGUAGCGGUGAAAUGCGUAGAUAUCAGGAGGAACACCGGUGGCGAAGGCGGUUUACUGGACGAUACCUGACGCUGAGACACGAAAGCGUGGGGAGCAAACAGGAUUAGAUACCCUGGUA